Molecule: unclassified non-coding RNA, 251 nt
Filed under: Hevea brasiliensis (rubber tree)
Lineage: Eukaryota; Viridiplantae; Streptophyta; Magnoliopsida; Malpighiales; Euphorbiaceae
Source: RNAcentral
UGUCUGCCUACCAUUGUGCGUGAGUUCCAUCGCCAAGCCAGCGCUGCACACUUGUUCACAUCAAAGUACUCCAAGGAUGACCAUAUGCUUGAGUCCGAAUCCUCGAAGGCAUUUGGGGGACCCGAGCGGUUGGAUAUGUUCUUUCCAUUCGACCCCUACUUGCUUAAAGAAUCCGACAGGUUCAUUCGGCCGAAUUUCGAGUAUUGGUACAUGGUGAGGACGACAUACAGCGAUUUCAGCAGUGAACAUGA